This is a small nucleolar RNA of Benincasa hispida (wax gourd), 107 nucleotides long. Lineage: Eukaryota; Viridiplantae; Streptophyta; Magnoliopsida; Cucurbitales; Cucurbitaceae. The record is from RefSeq and is a predicted model, not a curated record.
AAGCCAUUGUGCGGACAAUCUCGCACUAGUCUUUUAAACCUCACCCAGACGUCACUGAGCGAUUCGUCAAUAUCCUGUUCAAAAUUAGUAAUCAGCUUCCUCUUCUU